This 656-nucleotide ribosomal RNA is filed under the name uncultured fungus. RNAcentral describes it as "LSU rRNA". It matches the Rfam family "Eukaryotic large subunit ribosomal RNA", at positions 23 to 664 of the family's 3401-position model. Lineage: Eukaryota; Fungi. The record is from RNAcentral.
ACCCGCUGAACUUAAGCAUAUCAAUAAGCGGAGGAAAAGAAACUAACAAGGAUUCCCCUAGUAACGGCGAGCGAAGCGGGAAGAGCUCAAAUUUGAAAGCUGGCACCUCCGGUGUCCGCGUUGUAAUCUCGAGACGUGUUUUCCGUGCGGCUCUAUGGACAAGUCCCUUGGAAUAGGGCAUCGUAGAGGGUGAGAAUCCCGUACUUGCCAUGGAAGAACCGUGCUUUGCGAUACACGCUCUAAGAGUCGAGUUGUUUGGGAUUGCAGCUCAAAAUGGGUGGUAGACUCCAUCUAAAGCUAAAUAUCGGGGAGAGACCGAUAGCGAACAAGUACCGUGAGGGAAAGAUGAAAAGCACUUUGGAAAGAGAGUUAAAAGUACGUGAAAUUGUCGAAAGGGAAGCACUUGAAGUCAGCCAUGCUGCUUGAGACUCAGCCUGGCCUUUGGGCUUGGUGUAUUUCUCGGUGGCAAGCCAGCAUUGGUUUGGGUCGUCGGAGAAGCGCAUAGGGAAUGUAGCGUCUCCGGACGUGUUAUAGCCUUAUGCAGGAUACGACGACCUGGAUCAAGGAACGCAGUGUGCCCUCUGGGCGGGUCUUCGGACACCUUCACACUUAGGAUGCUGGCGUAAUGGCUUUAAGUGGCCCGUCUUGAAACACGG